RNAcentral lists this small nuclear RNA (287 nucleotides) under Panthera pardus (leopard). RNAcentral describes it as "7SK RNA (ENSPPRG00000020086.1)". It matches the Rfam family "7SK RNA". Rfam says of the family: 7SK was discovered as an abundant small nuclear RNA in the mid-70s but a possible function has only recently been suggested. Two independent studies have found that 7SK RNA binds the CDK9/cyclin T complex (known as elongation factor P-TEFb). P-TEFb activates transcription by phosphorylating the C-terminal domain of RNA polymerase II. The record is from RNAcentral. Lineage: Eukaryota; Metazoa; Chordata; Mammalia; Carnivora; Felidae.
GGUUGGGAGUGUGGUUUGGCUGUGACUCCUGUCACCCCACUGAUCCCCAGGGUUGAUUUGACUGAUCACACUGGCUAAGGGGUGUCCCUUUCCUUCCUCACUGCUCCAUGCAUGUCCCUACUUAUCACAGAGGACAACCUUCUCCCACAGAGGAGGACCAUUCGUUGGUCAAGGAUGUACAAGCAUCCGUGUUCCUCUGCUAGAACCUCCAAAUAAGUUCUCAAAGUAAGACUUCCAGUGUAGGGAAAAGGUCUUUUAUUUUGCCUUACUGACAUUUACUCUUAUAU